AGAGUUUGAUCCUGGCUCAGGAUGAACGCUAGCUACAGGCUUAACACAUGCAAGUCGAGGGGCAGCAUUUUAGUUUGCUUGCAAACUAAAGAUGGCGACCGGCGCACGGGUGAGUAACACGCAUCCAACCUGCCGAUAACUCGGGGAUAGCCUUUCGAAAGAAAGAUUAAUAUCCGAUGGUAUAUUAAAACCGCAUGGUUUUACUAUUAAAGAAUUUCGGUUAUCGAUGGGGAUGCGUUCCAUUAGUUUGUUGGCGGGGUAACGGCCCACCAAGACUACGAUGGAUAGGGGUUCUGAGAGGAAGGUCCCCCACAUUGGAACUGAGACACGGUCCAAACUCCUACGGGAGGCAGCAGUGAGGAAUAUUGGUCAAUGGACGAGAGUCUGAACCAGCCAAGUAGCGUGAAGGAUGACUGCCCUAUGGGUUGUAAACUUCUUUUAUAUGGGAAUAAAGUAUUCCACGUGUGGGAUUUUGUAUGUACCAUAUGAAUAAGGAUCGGCUAACUCCGUGCCAGCAGCCGCGGUAAUACGGAGGAUCCGAGCGUUAUCCGGAUU
RNAcentral lists this ribosomal RNA (555 nucleotides) under uncultured Bacteroides sp. Its description in RNAcentral is "bacterial SSU rRNA". It matches the Rfam family "Bacterial small subunit ribosomal RNA", at positions 8 to 551 of the family's 1533-position model. The record is from RNAcentral. Lineage: Bacteria; Pseudomonadati; Bacteroidota; Bacteroidia; Bacteroidales; Bacteroidaceae.